Molecule: long non-coding RNA, 1143 nt
Organism: Dasypus novemcinctus (nine-banded armadillo)
Lineage: Eukaryota; Metazoa; Chordata; Mammalia; Cingulata; Dasypodidae
Source: Ensembl
CCCCGAGCUUGCUCAUCCAUGGAUGUGUUCAGAGGAGCGAGAGGCUUGGAGGAAGAGCACCGGCUGCAGCUUGGGUUAGGCCUCUCUGUGGCUGCAGAUGGUGGGGAAGACAGCGCAAACCUGUGCUUCUCCACGAAAGACAAGUCUGACGGUUGAACGUUCUCUCCUCAGGUCUGGGGCUCACUCCAUGAAGGAAGAUGACAGCCUGGGAGACGAGCCACCUCUGUGAUGAACACACGCAGGAACUGUGAGGGGCGGCUUUCCGCGCAGCGUUUGUGGUGAUUUAUGGGAGUCAGGGGCUGCCGGAGAGGGAUGUGGAUGUUAUCAGCUUGGUGGAUUAAAUGCCCAUUUACAUUGUUAUUGACAUAUAAAUUAUCCGUGCCAAGGAGGCAGUGAAGGAAAGCCUUUCUGGGGCAGUGAUGUGGCCUGUGCCCCAGGCUAUGGACUCAUCUUUGCCCAAACCUGUCCUCUGGGCUCUCGGGAAGGGCGUCUCAGAACUGAAGUGAAACCCAGCGGCCCAGCUCUCACGAUGCCGGCAGCAGCCACCCUCAUUGCUAAGGCAGCGAUGGCGCGGGAGCUUCGCGGGGGGAUCCUAGGAAGUCGGGAAGGCCUUUGAACAGGUGGCGCUGGGUUCCUGGGCUGGCAGGAGCUGUGCCUGGCGGGGUGCAUGCAUGACUUUUCGCCUGGGUUAUUUUGUUCCUCUGUGGAUCUGGAAGCAUCACUGAAGGAGAGAGGGGGAUUUUCUUCCUGGGAGAUGGAAUCAGUUUCUGAGUUCAGCCAACAGCAGAAGAGAAAGCCGGUUACCCAUGGACUGGAAGAUCAAAAGAGGAAUGAAGAGGACAAAGCCUCCCUUUUCAGCGAAGCCCAGCAGACCAGAAAGGCUUUGGAAUCAUGAAAUGCAAAUACUGGCUGCUUUUGAACCGCAUUGAAGGCGGAGCUGCUGAAUUAAAUUAACAAGGCCCAUAAAUACAGAGGUUAAAAAAAUGGAAGGCCAAGUGUUCAGAGGCUUUUUGUCCAGAGGGAAAAUAAUCACAGGACAAUGGUCUAUUUUGUUUGGAUUACAGGCUGGGCUGUUAUCACAUUAGCUGAAACCUGGCAAUAUUUAUGUUGAAAACGGCUGUUUGAGGAGCUCUGUUGCCCCAA